CAGUAGCCGCGGUAAAACGUAGGGGGCAAGCGUUAUCCGGAAUUACUGGGUGUAAAGGGAGCGUAGACGGCUAAAUAAGUCUGAAGUGAAAUGCCGGGGCUCAACCCCGGAGCUGCUUUGGGAACUGUAGAACUGGAGUGUCGGAGGGGUAAGCGGAAUUCCCAGUGUAGCGGUGAAAUGCGUAGAUAUUGGGAUGAACACCGGCGGCGAAGGCGGCUUACUGGACGACAACUGACGUUGAGGCUCGAAGGCGUGGGUAGCAAACAGGAUUAGAUACCCCUGUAGUCCCUGUCUCUUAUAC
This 301-nucleotide ribosomal RNA is filed under the name uncultured bacterium. RNAcentral's name for it is "partial 16S ribosomal RNA". It matches the Rfam family "Bacterial small subunit ribosomal RNA", at positions 509 to 807 of the family's 1533-position model. The record is from RNAcentral.